UAUUGGACAAUGGGCGAAAGCCUGAUCCAGCAAUGCCGCGUGAGUGAUGAAGGCCUUAGGGUUGUAAAGCUCUUUUACCCGGGAUGAUAAUGACAGUACCGGGAGAAUAAGCUCCGGCUAACUCCGUGCCAGCAGCCGCGGUAAUACGGAGGGAGCUAGCGUUGUUCGGAAUUACUGGGCGUAAAGCGCACGUAGGCGGCUUUGUAAGUUAGAGGUGAAAGCCUGGAGCUCAACUCCAGAAUUGCCUUUGAUACUGCAUCGCUUGAAUCCAGGAGAGGUGAGUGGAAUUCCGAGUGUAGAGGUGAAAUUCGUAGAUAUUCGGAAGAACACCAGUGGCGAAGGCGGCUCACUGGAGCUGGUAUUGACGCUGAGGUGCGAAG
This 380-nucleotide ribosomal RNA is filed under the name uncultured bacterium. Its description in RNAcentral is "bacterial SSU rRNA". It matches the Rfam family "Bacterial small subunit ribosomal RNA", at positions 362 to 758 of the family's 1533-position model. The record is from RNAcentral.